AGUCAUAUUUUUGGUUUUUUUUUCACAAUUUACAUUUUGUUUUCGUACAAAAAAAACCACAGAAAAUAACGUUUGAAAUAAAAGAGAAAAAAAUAGAGAAAUUUAUUAUAAGAUUAUUUUGUUCUAUCGGCUGAAAUAUCACGAUUUUUGUUCUUAUAUAUUCUUAUUAUGUUUAUUAUAUUAACUAAUUAACUUAGAAAAAAUGGUGCAUUAUAAUGAAACUUAAAAUAUAAAUAAAAAUAAUAUAAGUCAUAGAUUAGAGAAAUAUUUUUUAACAUUUUUUUUUCGUUUCAGUUCAUGAGGAUGAUUAUCUAUUUGUUUUACCAAUUAAUAUUCAUAUUUUUAAAUUUACAAGAUUUUAUUUUAUUUUUUUAUUUCUUUAUAAUUUAAUUUAUUUAGGAAAUAGAUUUUUUCAAACUUCCUCAUGAACUUACAUUUAAAUAUUUCUCUAAUCACUUUACAACAAAUAAAAUUUUAUGUUUCUCACAUGACAAGCAGGCAUUUCAUGCAAUUUCAUCAGGAUAAAUAAAAAACCACUCAAAAAUAAUUUCUUUUAAAAUCAAAAUUAAAGAAAAAAAAACAGAGGAAAAUAUCGAGAGCAUUCCAACAUAAAAGUAUCAUUAUAUAUUGUAUGGAUUAUACAAUUUUGAUUUUUCCGUACUUCUCUUUUCGAGAAAGAAAAUCAAUUUCUUAAAAAAAUAUGAAAAAAUAAAACACAAAAAAUAUUUUUCUUGUCAACAGAGAAGACCAAAAAUUAAAAAUUUGAAAAGAAAACUUCCAAAAAACUUAAAAGUAAAAACUUGUGGAUUAAGGAUUUUGUGAUUGAGGAGAUUGACGUCAACAAAAAUUCAUCUCUCGCCACUUUUUUUUUGGUUAUUAUUUACACAAAAACCAAAGUUUAAAAUUAGAAAAUAAAUACCGCCAUUUUUUUCUUUCCUUAAAUUCUUUCAUCGCAUUGUUUUCCAUUUCGUUUUUCCACAAAAAAACCAUCGCGAAAAAUUUCGUUCUUUGCCCCAAACACGUUUAGGAAAAUGUCACUUCUAACCAACACUUAAAAAUCAUUUUGUAUUGGUUUUCUUUGUAUUUUUUGAGUUUUCUUUUUUUUUUUGUUUAUUUGGGGUUGAACUUAUUGGAGAAAAAAAUGAGAGCCAAUAUCAAAAAUAAAAUUCAUUAAAUUCUGUCAAAAUUAUUGAAAAAGAAAAAUUUCUUUUAAACCGUUUUAAGGUUUCUUUUUCCUCUGUUUGUUGGUACUUUCUUUUAAAGGUUUUGAUGAAAAAUUUGCAUAAAACACACUGUCUUAAUUCAAAGUUGGUUUGUCUUUUCUUUUCUUGUUAAAUUCACUGAAGACAUCAAUGAGGAAUAAAGUCAAAAAAUAAAAUAUUAAAAUUCCCUUUAUCGGGCAUUUUUUGGGAUAAAAUAUUCUUUGGUUUCUUAGAACCUUUGAGGGUGGUAAAAUUCUCUCAUUGAAGUUCUUCAGUAUUUUGUUUCUUUCAAAGGGUGUAGGUUCUGACUUGGAAAAAAUUGGGGUUUAAAAUCAGAGGGAUGAACCGUGAGACCAACUCCCUGAAAAUGGCCAAAAAAUGUGUCAAAAAAAAAUUCCACAGACCUAAAGUAAGAGGAUUUGUUAAAGUCAAACCCAAGGAUGGUCGUGAUGUUGUUUUUAGCACCAAACGUCGCAACUGGCCUCCAAAAAAUACCUAAGAAAAGUGAUAAAAAAAAUUCGGCGCCACAGUGUACGCCCAAAAAAACCCCGGAAAACCUUCGACAAAAAUAACGAUGUGGUCACAAAUGUGAUUGACCCAAAAAUCACCCCAUUUAUCCGCCCCUUUGUCAAUUCGAAUUCCAACGAUUUUUCCUUUUUUUUUCAAACUAAUUCCCGCGCUUUUUUGUGCAAAUUUCAUCACACGCGUAAAAAAAGAUUUCUCUCUGUUGUCCUUUGCAACCAAAUCGCAAUUUUUAUCAAAUUUCUUCCGCAAUUUGUGAAAAAAAUUCAAGCAUUUCAAGUUUCUUAUAAAAUUAUUUCAUAUAGUGGUUAUUUGAAAAAAAAAUAGUAGAGAUUAUUUCACUUCUUCUCACUCUCGCAAAAAAAGAAACAAAAUCAACAUGAGCAGAAAAUCACGUCAUUGCUUCAUGUGUGAUGCUUUGAGCAAUCAAAAAUCCAUUUUUGCUCAUUCUUUUUGGCGAUAUUUCUACAAAAAAAAAACAAACAGAUUUCUUUUGAAAAAUAAAAAGAAUUUUUUAAUCACACUUUUGCAUGACUUUGAGCUUAUUUUUUUGUAAAGUGAAGAAUAUUUUGCAAGGAUGUGCUGUUGAAAAGAAAUAAACAAGAACUAUAUUUUUAUCUGUAAGAAACACAACAAUACAGUAACGGUGCUCUUAAAUUAAAUAUAAAAACAAUUUUUAUACCAUUUUCUUUUUAAACGCCUUAACUUCGCGGAAUUUUCGUAUUUUUCUUUCUUUUUUUUUUAAUUUUAUCUUUCAUGUUGAAAUACAUUUGAAACUUUUGCAAAUUUCAUUGAAAUUUUCAAAGGAAAUAAAUGAAAAACAAAUCUGGAAUUUCAGCAAAAAUAUUCCCAGUAAAAAACAAAGAAAACUAAUUUUAAAUAUUGAAAAGAAAAUAAAUGAAAAAUUAGAAGAUAAAAUUGUGUUUUUAAUGCACUUUUCUUGCAUUUCUUUCAUCAUGAUUCUUGUCCUAAUUUUUUUUAAUGAUUCUAUGAUUUCUGUCUUGAAAUUGAUUUUGUUUUUUUGAAAUUGUAUCAUAUAAAUAUAUUGUUUUGCAACUUAAAAUAAUUGUGCUGUAAGGAAGAAGAAGCAGACUAAAGAAUAUUAUAUUUUUCUGUGUUUUGAAGCUUCUUUUUUUUUGCUGUGUGGAUUUUAAUUGUUUAAUUCUUGGAUUUUAUUAAUAAUUUCUUUUCAAAAUGUUUUUAAAAAAAAAUCCAGAUAGCAAAAAAUGUUUUCUUAUUUGCUUCGAAUAUUUGUUUUAUAAUCUAGAAAAAAAAUCUAAGAAAGGCAAAUUGAUUUUUUUAGUUCUUUAGAACAGUUUUUUUUUCUUAAUUUUUUUUAUCUUUUAAUAAUAUAAUUUAAUUCUCAACUAACUUCAUAUUCUCAACCAUUAAAAAAAACGUUGGGUUAGGAUACCUUGAUGGUCAUAAAAAUAAAACAAAAAAGCUUUAAUUUUUAAACAACAAAAUAAUAUUUAAGUUUUUUUUAUAUCUACGUGAAGUUUUCCAUCAAACAUUCCUGUCAUAAAUUUUCUAUUUACGUUUUUUAUUCUAAAUCUUUUUUUUUUAUUUAAAUUUUCUGUUUGAGUUUGUCUUCUUAAUAAUUUUAAUAAAAGAAAAUUCAAUCUAGUUCUUUUAAUUCAAUAUUCUAUCGAAGAUUUUCUUUCCUUUUUCCUUCCUUCCAACUCUUUUUCUGCUCUAUUUUUAUGACCAUUAUCGUAUCCUACCUCAUUUUUCUAAAUCAGCAAGAUCGUUAAUUCUAUUAAUAUAUUUUUUUACUUUAAGAAGCAAUCACAUAAAAUUAUUUUAUUGUUCUUUUAGCAAAUUUCUCAUUUAACAUUAAUCAAUUAACCGAUAAAAAUCAUAUCAAAUUGCCUUUCUUCAUUCAAAAGAUAUAAAAAUAAUAAAUUCAUUAAUUAAAAAAAAAAGAAGAAGAAUCAAACCAUUUUCCUCUCUCAAAUUUCACAUGAUGGAGAAACUCUCAUUUCAUUCUUAUAGGAGAAAUUCCUCCCACUUAAUUUCUAUUGAUGUGAAAUAAAAUAUAUUUUUAUGUAAAAUGUAUUUUUAAAGUUAUUGCUCUUUUUUAUAUGUUUCAUAUAUAAUUUCUGCGGCAGCCAUUUGUUGAAUGUUGAUUGCCUAUAAAUUAAUCCCUAAAAUGGUUCAUCAGAAAUCCAAACUUUUUUAAACUCUUUCACUUGAAAUUCUCAAAUUAAAUAAAAACAACAAAGAAAAACUACACGAAACUUUUUCUUCUCUCUUGUCAUAACGCAUAACUUAUUAGUUAGUGUUUUAUAAAUAUUAAUAGCAAUAAAAUAAAAUAUUUGUGUUUACACAGAGACGAGAGAAUAAUAUGCUUAUGAUGGGGAGAGAGAAAAGAAAAAGAAAUCCACAGACAUUGUCAACAUUCACGCCAUCAGCCGCACAUAAACAUUCAAUCUCAAUUGCUCAAAACGAGUUGAAAAAAAAAUCAAGAAAACAUCGCGAGUCUCUUCUCCAAACAUCUCCUUUCAUCUUCUUCCUAUAUUCGUUUGAGUCGCGAGCAUUUUUUCUUUUCGAGUUCAUGCUCUUUGCGCCCAAGACGAAUAUGGGGAAGACACUCAGAGAUGAGCAAUAAGAACAAGUUGCGGGGGAACGGGGUGGUUAAACUAAAUGCAAUUUAGAUGGUUAAAUAAACGUAUUCUUGUGGAUGGAUGAAAAUCUACUCACGUCGAGUGGUUUCUUGAGGACAAUCCAUCCAGAUUCGGGUUGUAUUUCGAAAUAAGCCAAAUCAGCCGGAUUGUACGGUGCACUGAGGCUGUACACGAUGGCCCCAUUGUUGUCAGCAUCCUCAUCCGAGGCGGAAACUCUCAAAAUAUUCGUCCCAAUGCUCGCAUCUUGUUUCACAUUCUCCACGUAUUUCUACGGGGGCCACACAGGGUGGUGGGAGAGAGAGAGACACAGCAUUAGAAUUGAAAAUUUGAAUAUUCAAUGGGGUUGUUUUCUUGUUGAGAAAAUACACAACUCGACAACUUUUAAGGUGAUCAUUGAUGGCACACUCGCAAUGGAAUUCCCAAACUCUCAGAUGGCUCAAUUGGGUCAUUUGCAUGUCAAUCGGUUAACACAAAAUUCAAUCACUUCAACAACGCAAAGAGAUUCUCUUUCAACUUUAUCUCUAAACAAUUGUCUUGAAGAUGUUUUUUUUUUUGAAAAUAAACUUUAAGAGGUUUUUUUUGUAUAUUGAGAAACUCUUUAGAACAUAAACGCUCUUUUUGUGUGGAGUACAGAGAACAUUUUGAUUUGGAAAGCUAUUUAAUGUUCUUUAAUAGAAUUCUGAGAAGAAAGAAUUCUUAAAAAAGAGAGAUGAAAAUGUUUUAAAUAUUUGCGAGAAAAGAGAAUAGAGAAUUCUCUUUAAAAUUAGAUAAUAUAUUUCUAAGAAUUUCUUUGAGUUUUCUUUUGAGAAGAAAAUUUUAAAUUAAUAAAUAAUAAUUUUGAAAUAUUUUUUAAUUGUCUUCCAGAGCGUGAAUUCUCUAAAAGUGAAAAA
Molecule: long non-coding RNA, 5241 nt
Organism: Lutzomyia longipalpis
Lineage: Eukaryota; Metazoa; Arthropoda; Insecta; Diptera; Psychodidae
Exons: 2
Source: RefSeq, a predicted model, not a curated record